CCAAAGAUUUUUUGAUAUAAGAACGAAAAGCGGAAAAUUUAACUUAUUUCGAUCUUGAACUACUUCUCCUGUACAAUGGUCACGCCAUACUUUCCUCUGAGCUACAAUCGAUGAUACAUCAGGGACGAAGCCAGCAAACGUCUGUAAGGGGGGCCAAAAAAAAUUUUCUUCGAUACAAUAAAAAUUUUCAUCAGCACUGUAAAAUAUUCAUUAUAAAAUAAAUACAAAAAUACUAGUAAAAAAAUUAUAGUAGAGCUUUGCGUUCUUUUAAAUCAGGAAAUCAAAUUUAUAAUAGUGUCAACAAAAAUAUUUAGCUAUUUCUCUUUAAAUAUAUUUAAGUAUAAAUGGUCAGAAAACUCAUCAUAAUAACUCUAAGUUAUAGUAAUCUUUAAUUAGCAAGUAACACACAUUAUAUGAAAUUGUAUUUUGACAAUAUCUCAAAAACUAAAUAUUAUUUUUAUUAUACUUACUCCUUUUCAAAAAAAAAUGUUUAUUAUAGUUAAAAAAAAUAUUAUACUUAUUUAGAAGACGACAAGUUAUAAUUUAAAUAAGUAAAAAUAUUAUCUGGAUGAUGAAUUUAAAUUGAAGAUGAGUAGAUCAAUAUUAAUAUUAAAUAAUAAAUUUAUAAUGCACGAGGACUAACUAUUCUAUGAAAAUGAAGAAGUGAAGUGAGGUAUAAGUUUUUUGGAUAAGACCUCCACCAAAGAUUCUUAUUUUUAAAGAAGAACCAUAUUGACAUUUAUAUUUAUCACAUAUCACAUUUUACGAUCUUUCCUUUUAAAUUUCCUUUUAAAUUAGUAUAAUUGUAUAUAUAUCCAUAUUUUUGUUUAUUUUUAUUUUUAAAUUUGGUCUAAUACAAUAAAUUAGAAAAAUCUAAGAAUUAAAACUUUAUUUUGAAGCGAACAAAUAUUUUUUGAGGGGGGCCAAAUUUUUAUAUUUAUAUAAAUAUAUAGAUAAAAUACAAUUUUUUUCAAAAUUAUAUAAUAAAAAUUACAAUAUUAUGGAAAUCCUAGGGGGCCAUGGCCCCUUCUGACCCCUGUGUAGCUUCGUCCUGUGAUACAUCAUACAUUGUUACAAACACUAUGCUGCCGGGGGUGCCAUGAGAUAAUUAGCGGCUCUUUUUGGCUGCGCCGCAGGUGCUCCGAGCACUGCAGCAGACCCUGAAAGAGCAACAGC
This 1176-nucleotide long non-coding RNA is filed under the name Daucus carota (carrot). RNAcentral describes it as "long non-coding RNA (DCAR_LNC002536)". The record is from RNAcentral. Lineage: Eukaryota; Viridiplantae; Streptophyta; Magnoliopsida; Apiales; Apiaceae.